AAUUCUCAACUUCAGAACAUUAUUGUUCCUUGAAGCUUGGACUUUGGAGGCUUUGCCGGCCAGAAAUAUGGUCAGCUCCUCUUAAAUGCAUUAGCAGAACCUUCUUGCAAAAAGGGAACUGGCUUCAGUUUGAUAAAUCCUAUCUAUGCUGUUGCCAAUUAACCUUCUGUGUUCAGCUUCUAAUGGUCCUUUUGGACUGUCUCUAUUGAGGCAUACACUUUUAA
RNAcentral lists this unclassified non-coding RNA (224 nucleotides) under uncultured Clavariaceae. RNAcentral describes it as "sequence contains ITS2". The record is from RNAcentral. RNAcentral also lists the same sequence under 1 other name. Lineage: Eukaryota; Fungi; Basidiomycota; Agaricomycetes; Agaricales; Clavariaceae.